Molecule: ribosomal RNA, 343 nt
Filed under: uncultured prokaryote
Description: bacterial SSU rRNA
Rfam family: Bacterial small subunit ribosomal RNA
Source: RNAcentral
AGAGUUUGAUCCUGGCUCAGAUUGAACGCUGGCGGCAUGCUUUACACAUGCAAGUCGAACGGCAGCACGGGGGCAACCCUGGCGGCGAGUGGCGAACGGGUGAGUAAUGCAUCGGAACGUAUCCUUGAGUGGGGGAUAACGCAGCGAAAGUUGUGCUAAUACCGCAUACGACCGAGAGGUGAAAGCGGGGGACCGAAAGGCCUCGCGCAGCAGGAUGAGCCGAUGUCCGAUUAGCUGGUUGGUGGGGUAACGGCCCACCAAGGCGACGAUCGGUAGCUGGUCUGAGAGGAUGAUCAGCCACACUGGGGACUGAGACAUGGCCCAGACUCCUACGGGAGGCGAC